ACGGUUGAGUAGAGGAUGAUUUUAGGAGGGAAACAAUAUUACACACAAGUAAAUUUGGGACGCGGGAUCCGUAACCAAGUGGGCAGACACGGGAUCCAUGUUAUGACCCGGGUAUUUAGAUGUUCUAAAACCCUAAAUGUCCACCUCUUUCACCGCCGAUUCAUUCUUCUCCUUCACUUCGCGCUGUGAUAAUCCCUUCAUGUUGUUCAUUCUUUUCCUUCUUCUUCAACUUCUAUAAUCCAUUAACCUCUGUAAUAAUUCGAGGAAUUUCCCAGUAAAGAGAUUUGUCCCAGAUGAUGAUGGUCACCAAACUUCGAAGGAGAACUUGCAGACCCAGAUAUGUUUAUGCCCUUUGAUAUACGAUAUAGUAGAUCAUUCACUUCUAUAAAAGGGUAUUAGUCAUUUUGUAUCUCCCGGUUCUGAAGAAGUCAUGGAAGCCCUGAAAAACGGCCUUCUCCAUCACUACGGUUGUCAAUCGUUCGUUUUGUCGCUGACUAUCCGACUAAUUCAACAACGCCUAAUAACAGGCAAAUUGGGCAGAGAUGAUUAAAAUUGGGCGGAGACAAGUCGGGUCAAAAAGUUGGAAGAUUUGGAGAGGGAAUAGAAGAGACGUACAGUAUAGAAAACGAGCAUUUGGAUUCUGGAUGAGAUCCAAGUGGGACCUGCUACAGAUCUUGAUCAUGAAUAUUUCAAUCAUAAGAAGGAUCCGGAAAACAAUGAAUAUUGCUGCCCAGAAUGUAAGGGUCAGUUUUCAUUUGACCAAUCGGUUGUAGACGAAAGUCAAUCUAAAGUCAGCAGUUGUACAGAAAGCAAUGACCAGAGUACACUUCCUGACAAAAUAGUUGUCGUCUGUACGGACAUUGAAGGCAUUUACUAUCCAAAGCUUCAUCUGAUUCAGUGUAAGUGUGGUUCAUGUGGGAUCAGAAAGCAAACUCCAUCCGAAUUGGUACGACAUACUGGUUCCAGACCAAAAAAGUUGAUUCUUCGCCUAAUACACGUUCCAUCUCUCCGCCUCUCCUCUUUGCCGAUUCUCUCAGAUCAUUGGAUUCUUCGCCAUUCACCCUGGCGCAUUUCUAAUCUUGAGGUGGUUUUUUAAGUCUUCAUCAGGAUUCCGGCGAACUGAUUCGAGGUGUGUGUAUGUUAUCUCAGUAGAUCAACAUUACCUAUGACAACUGAGAGACACGAGGUGAGCCAAUUAUCACUUUACAUCCUUCCGAUCAUAAUUCUUGCAUGUUUCGUUUCUAUUUAGAUCUACAAGUAACAACUAACUUAUGUUGGAUUGGAGUUUGAUACGACGGUUCUUCUGAAUUAUGGCAACCUUUGGAUUUCGAAUGGUUUUGUGAUAAGAUGUUGAGCGGCGAAUGACGGUGGAUGGUUUAAAUCGUUCCUCCGGUUGAUUGUAAGCAGGUUCCUUUUCUUUAUCGAUUUGGUGUUAUUUUGUGUCCCUUUUAUCUAAUUGAAUUUGAUUAUUACUUUUCGUGUCAUAUAUGUGUGGAUUAAUUUUCGAAGAUGGGCUAAAUAAAAAUAGUUUGAUCUCUACUCUAUUGGUGGGUGGGUAAAUAUAAAGUAGCCUAAUGAUUUAAUAAUCGCAACUGUAUUUUGGUAAAAUUAAUUUUGUAAAAAUUUACUCCUACAAGGAGUUAAGAAUUAGUGGAUAGAAGGUGAUGCGUGCAUUAUAGAAGAGAAGCACCCAUGUUAACUAAUGAUGACAUACAAGUAACUUAGUGCAAUCUGUGAUGUUUUAAAAAACAAGUAGUCGUGUUGUUCGUAAAAACUGGGUUGUUAGCUCAAUAAAAAAUGGAAGUUGACAAGGAUAAAGAAAAAUCCAGGUCUAGUUCUUCAUUUAUUGUUUAAUCAUCAUUUUAUGUUUUUUAUUAUGAUGGAUUGAUGCAGUGUGUCUUUUUACUUUUUGUUUGAUCUUAUUUUGCAGCGAUCAUGUGCCAAAUUGUUGUAAGCAUAUAUGGAGAUGAAUUGCAGAGUAAAGAUAUAUUUACAGUCCCAUGAGGACUUCACUCAAUGAUUCUAAGGUAAUUUGUGUCUUAUCCCUUUCAUUUUCAUGGAGUAUUGAAAAGAUCCAAAGCUUCUAUUGAAUGAAACAUCCCACAUGGGGUUUUGAUCCCUAUAAAGUUUACUGUGAGUUAACAUAUUCUGAAAUUGGAGAAGCUUUGCAUCAUUUGGACUCCAAAGAUGACACCAGAGCAGAGAGCAGUUAAUGGACCUCUUAUACUUUAGGUGAGACGGCUAAAUGCUCACGGAGGAAUGCAUUCUCGGAACCAAAAGCUUAUAAAUCAUACUUGAGCUUCGCCAUUGUAGUUUUGUUUAGUUCUGUAUAUGAUGGUUACCGUUUAUUGUGAUUGAAAAAGUGGCUAUGAGAAGGAUGGCCAUUGGUAUAACUAAAACGUAGUAAAAGUUGCCCAAGCACGUGCUGAACAAUUUCGUUGGAGAGGAAUUAUUUCAAGGAGUAAAGACGUUGUUUCCGAUGGUACAUAAUCAAUUGGAAGACAUAUCAUUAGACAUGGAAGCUGACAAAGGUGGAAUUGAAGACAGAGCAAAGAAAGAUUGAAAAACUCGCUUAACCUCUUUACUUGCUGGGAGAAGAAAUACUCGACGGGAGAGACGGCUAUUUGAAGAAAAAGAUCAAUGUCGAAUCCUGUCCAUGUUUAUAGCUUUAUUUGGAAAGCAUAGUUAUUUUUUUUUUGUCGGUAUAUAACUUGAAGCUCCCACUAGGUAAUAACUGCGACUGAUGCUUGAAGGGUGUCAAAGAGAGGUAACCGAUGAAGCCAUUUUUCAACAACUGAUGAUGAAACUUGAAGAACCACUGUUGCAUUAUCAACUGCUGCAACUACUGUUAUACAUCGUUUCUGCUGAUACAACUAUGAAGGUUGGUUGGGAUGAAGCGAACCAGCAAUCAUGGGUACCGAGGUUUGCUCAACCACAGGUCAACAUGUCUUCCAUGUUUUAAAUAUGGCUAAAUCAUUGUGGGGGUAUAUAUGUAAAUGUUAUUUUUAUACUUUUAUUUGUUGUAAAUUAAAUUUUUCUACCCGGAAAAUUUCCGGGUGAUAACCUAGUUAUUUAAUAUAGUAAAUGUAUAGUUGCAUAGCAAA
Molecule: long non-coding RNA, 3104 nt
Organism: Helianthus annuus (common sunflower)
Lineage: Eukaryota; Viridiplantae; Streptophyta; Magnoliopsida; Asterales; Asteraceae
Exons: 8
Source: RefSeq, a predicted model, not a curated record